Molecule: transfer RNA, 72 nt
Filed under: Hyaloraphidium curvatum
Lineage: Eukaryota; Fungi; Monoblepharomycota; Hyaloraphidiomycetes; Hyaloraphidiales; Hyaloraphidiaceae
Description: tRNA-Pro
Rfam family: tRNA
About the family: Transfer RNA (tRNA) molecules are approximately 80 nucleotides in length.
Source: RNAcentral
GGGAGUGUAGUGUGAAUGGUAGCACGCGAGUUUUGGGUACUCGUUGUCCAGGUUCGAGUCCUGGCUCUCCGA